GAUGAACGCUGGCGGCGUGCCUAAUACAUGCCAGUCGAGCGAACAGACGAGGAGCUUGCUCCUCUGACGUUAGCGGCGGACGGGUGAGUAACACGUGGAUAACCUACCUAUAAUACUGGGAUAACUUCGGGAAACCGGAGCUAAUACCGGAUAAUAUAUUGAACCGCAUGGUUCAAUAGUGAAAGACGGUUUUGCUGUCACUUAUAGAUGGAUCCGCGCCGCCUUAGCUGGUUGGUAAGGUAACGGCUUACCAAGGCGACGAUGCGUAGCCGACCUGAGAGGGUGAUCGGCCACACUGGAACUGAGACACGGUCCAGACUCCUACGGGAGGCAGCAGUAGGGAAUCUUCCGCAAUGGGCGAAAGCUUGACGGAGCAACGCCGAGUGAGUGAUGAAGGUCUUCGGAUCGUAAAACUCUGUUAUUAGGGAAGAACAAAUGUGUAAGUAACUAUGCACGUCUUGACGGUACCUAAUCAGAAAGCCACGGCUAACUACGUG
RNAcentral lists this ribosomal RNA (497 nucleotides) under uncultured bacterium. RNAcentral describes it as "partial 16S ribosomal RNA". It matches the Rfam family "Bacterial small subunit ribosomal RNA", at positions 28 to 507 of the family's 1533-position model. The record is from RNAcentral.